RNAcentral lists this ribosomal RNA (1269 nucleotides) under Halomonas sp. Its description in RNAcentral is "bacterial SSU rRNA". It matches the Rfam family "Bacterial small subunit ribosomal RNA", at positions 154 to 1419 of the family's 1533-position model. Lineage: Bacteria; Pseudomonadati; Pseudomonadota; Gammaproteobacteria; Oceanospirillales; Halomonadaceae. The record is from RNAcentral.
AAACUCAAGCUAAUACCGCAUACGCCCUACGGGGGAAAGCAGGGGCUCUUCGGACCUUGCGCUAUCGGAUGAGCUUAUGUCGGAUUAGCUGGUUGGUGAGGUAACGGCUCACCAAGGCGACGAUCCGUAGCUGGUCUGAGAGGAUGAUCAGCCACAUCGGGACUGAGACACGGCCCGAACUCCUACGGGAGGCAGCAGUGGGGAAUAUUGGACAAUGGGGGCAACCCUGAUCCAGCCAUGCCGCGUGUGUGAAGAAGGCCCUCGGGUUGUAAAGCACUUUCAGCGAGGAAGAAUGCUUGUCGGUUAAUACCCGGCAAGGGAGACAUCACUCGCAGAAGAAGCACCGGCUAACUCCGUGCCAGCAGCCGCGGUAAUACGGAGGGUGCGAGCGUUAAUCGGAAUUACUGGGCGUAAAGCGUGCGUAGGCGGCUUGAUAAGCCGGUUGUGAAAGCCCCGGGCUCAACCUGGGAACGGCAUCCGGAACUGUUAGGCUAGAGUGCAGGAGAGGAAGGUAGAAUUCCCGGUGUAGCGGUGAAAUGCGUAGAGAUCGGGAGGAAUACCAGUGGCGAAGGCGGCCUUCUGGACUGACACUGACGCUGAGGUACGAAAGCGUGGGUAGCAAACAGGAUUAGAUACCCUGGUAGUCCACGCCGUAAACGAUGUCGACUAGCCGUUGGGGUCCUCGAGACCUUUGUGGCGCAGUUAACGCACUAAGUCGACCGCCUGGGGAGUACGGCCGCAAGGUUAAAACUCAAAUGAAUUGACGGGGGCCCGCACAAGCGGUGGAGCAUGUGGUUUAAUUCGAUGCAACGCGAAGAACCUUACCUACCCUUGACAUCGUGCGAACUUUCCAGAGAUGGAUUGGUGCCUUCGGGAGCGCACAGACAGGUGCUGCAUGGCUGUCGUCAGCUCGUGUUGUGAAAUGUUGGGUUAAGUCCCGUAACGAGCGCAACCCUUGUCCCUAUUUGCCAGCGAUUCGGUCGGGAACUCUAGGGAGACUGCCGGUGACAAACCGGAGGAAGGUGGGGACGACGUCAAGUCAUCAUGGCCCUUACGGGUAGGGCUACACACGUGCUACAAUGGCCGGUACAAUGGGUUGCAAAGCGGCGACGUGGAGCUAAUCUCAUAAAGCCGGUCUCAGUCCGGAUCGGAGUCUGCAACUCGACUCCGUGAAGUCGGAAUCGCUAGUAAUCGUGCAUCAGAAUGGCACGGUGAAUACGUUCCCGGGCCUUGUACACACCGCCCGUCACACCAUGGGAGUGGACUGCA